Ixodes scapularis (black-legged tick) is the source of this 73-nucleotide non-coding RNA. The record is from Rfam. NCBI's taxonomy places the organism in Eukaryota, Metazoa, Arthropoda, Arachnida, Ixodida, Ixodidae.
GGUGGAGUGGUGUAGUGGUUAGCAAACCCGACCGGACAUUGGGAAGCCCAGAGUUCAAAUCCUGGCUCCGCCG